GACGAACGCUGGCGGCGUGCCUAAUACAUGCAAGUCGAGCGCAGGAAGCAGACGGAUUCCUUCGGGAUGAAGACUGUGGAAUGAGCGGCGGAUGGGUGAGUAACACGUGGGCAACCUGCCUGUAAGCUUGGGAUAACUCCGGGAAACCGGUGCUAAUACCGAAUGACCCUAUUGUUCGCAUGAACAAUAGGUAAAAGGCGGCUUUUGCUGUCACUUACAGAUGGGCCCGCGUCGCAUUAGCUAGUUGGUGGGGUAAUGGCCUACCAAGGCGACGAUGCGUAGCCGACCUGAGAGGGUGAUCGGCGACACUGGGACUGAGACACGGCCCAGACGCCUACGGGAGGCAGCAGUAGGGAAUCUUCCGCAAUGGACGAAAGUCUGACGGAGCGACGCCGCGUGAGUGAUGAAGGUCUUCGGAUCGUAAAACUCUGUUGUUAGGGAAGAACAAGUAUCGACCUAAUACGUCGGUACCUUGACGGUACCUAACCAGAAAGCCCCGGCUAACUACGUGC
This 512-nucleotide ribosomal RNA is filed under the name uncultured bacterium. RNAcentral's name for it is "bacterial SSU rRNA". It matches the Rfam family "Bacterial small subunit ribosomal RNA", at positions 28 to 508 of the family's 1533-position model. The record is from RNAcentral.